Molecule: long non-coding RNA, 482 nt
Filed under: Salmo salar (Atlantic salmon)
Lineage: Eukaryota; Metazoa; Chordata; Actinopteri; Salmoniformes; Salmonidae
Description: lncRNA (ENSSSAG00000087674.1)
Source: RNAcentral
CUCAGCCCAGUCAAAACUGUUCGCUGCUCUGGCACCCCAAUGGUGGAACAAGCUCCCUCACGACGCCAGGACAGCGGAGUCAAUCACCACCUUCCGGAGACACCUGAAACCCCACCUCUUCAAGGAAUACCUGGGAUAGGAUAAACUGAGUCCCCUCCUGUUCCAAGUGAUGACCACUCCACUACCAUUGUCAACUACCUCCUCACAUGAACUGGAAGCCACGUCUCAUGUGGCCCACUCAUCCACUGGCACAUUGAAUGUUUCCUCUCCAAGCACUUCAAAUCCUGUCCUGCACUGGUCAAGCCUCUGAACACCUCAACUCAUGCCUCAUACCCUCAUUCAAUCACUGCUGUGAUCCCUUCCCAAAAUGGUAUAACCUGGUUCAAGUAUUGAUGACAUCACCCUGAAGAAGGCACAGUGAUGCUGAAACGUUGGCAGCCUGGGAAAGAACUGAAAAAACUCACUAAAGAGUCAAGACAGAG